GCCCGGCUAGCUCAGUCGGUAGAGCAUCAGACUUUUAAGCAGUAAUGGAAUCUGAGGGUCGUGGGUUCGAGUCCCACGUUGGGCG
RNAcentral lists this transfer RNA (85 nucleotides) under Dreissena polymorpha. It matches the Rfam family "tRNA". From Rfam's summary of the family: Transfer RNA (tRNA) molecules are approximately 80 nucleotides in length. The record is from Rfam by way of RNAcentral. Lineage: Eukaryota; Metazoa; Mollusca; Bivalvia; Myida; Dreissenidae.